AGUGAACGCUGGCGGUAGGCCUAACACAUGCAAGUCGAACGGCAGCACAGUAAGAGCUUGCUCUUACGGGUGGCGAGUGGCGGACGGGUGAGGAAUACAUCGGAAUCUACUUUUUCGUGGGGGAUAACGUAGGGAAACUUACGCUAAUACCGCAUACGACCUACGGGUGAAGGCAGGGGAUCUUCGGACCUUGCGCGAUUGAAUGAGCCGAUGUCGGAUUAGCUAGUUGGCGGGGUAAAGGCCCACCAAGGCGACGAUCCGUAGCUGGUCUGAGAGGAUGAUCAGCCACACUGGAACUGAGACACGGUCCAGACUCCUACGGGAGGCAGCAGUGGGGAAUAUUGGACAAUGGGCGCAAGCCUGAUCCAGCCACACCGCGUGGGUGAAGAAGGCCUUCGGGUUGUAAAGCCCUUUUGUUGGGAAAGAAAAGCAGCAGGUUAAUACCCCGCUGUUCUGACGGUACCCAAAGAAUAAGCACCGGCUAACUUCGUG
Molecule: ribosomal RNA, 492 nt
Filed under: uncultured bacterium
Lineage: Bacteria
Description: partial 16S ribosomal RNA
Rfam family: Bacterial small subunit ribosomal RNA
Source: RNAcentral